RNAcentral lists this ribosomal RNA (468 nucleotides) under uncultured bacterium. Its description in RNAcentral is "partial 16S ribosomal RNA". It matches the Rfam family "Bacterial small subunit ribosomal RNA", at positions 28 to 507 of the family's 1533-position model. The record is from RNAcentral.
GACGAACGCUGGCGGCGUGCUUAACACAUGCAAGUCGAACGGAAAGGCCCUGCUUUUGUGGGGUGCUCGAGUGGCGAACGGGUGAGUAACACGUGAGUAACCUGCCCUUGACUUUGGGAUAACUUCAGGAAACUGGGGCUAAUACCGGAUAGGAGCUCCUGCUGCAUGGUGGGGGUUGGAAAGUUUCGGCGGUUGGGGAUGGACUCGCGGCUUAUCAGCUUGUUGGUGGGGUAGUGGCUUACCAAGGCUUUGACGGAUAGCCGGCCUGGGAGGGUGACCGGCCACAUUGGGACUGAGAUACGGCCCAGACUCCUACGGGAGGCAGCAGUGGGGAAUAUUGCACAAUGGGCGGAAGCCUGAUGCAGCAACGCCGCGUGCGGGAUGACGGCCUUCGGGUUGUAAACCGCUUUCGCCUGUGACGAAGCGUGAGUGACGGUAAUGGGUAAAGAAGCACCGGCUAACUACGUG